This 447-nucleotide ribosomal RNA is filed under the name uncultured bacterium. Its description in RNAcentral is "bacterial SSU rRNA". It matches the Rfam family "Bacterial small subunit ribosomal RNA", at positions 329 to 792 of the family's 1533-position model. The record is from RNAcentral.
UGCCAGACUCCUACGGGAGGCAGCAGUGGGGGAUAUUGCACAAUGGGGGGAACCCUGAUGCAGCGACGCCGCGUGGGUGAAGGAGUGCUUCGGCAUGUAAAGCCCUAUCGGCAGGGAAGAAGCAAGACGGUACCUGACUAAGAAGCCCCGGCUAACUACGUGCCAGCAGCCGCGGUAAUACGUAGGGGGCGAGCGUUAUCCGGAUUCACUGGGUGUAAAGGGAGCGUAGACGGCCAUGCAAGCCAGGGGUGAAAGCCCGGGGCCCAACCCCGGGACUGCCCUUGGAACUGUGUGGCUGGAGUGUCGGAGAGGCAAGUGGAAUUCCUAGUGUAGCGGUGAAAUGCGUAGAUAUUAGGAGGAACACCAGUGGCGAAGGCGGCUUGCUGGACGAUGACUGACGUUGAGGCUCGAAAGCGUGGGGAGCAAACAGGAUUAGAUACCCUCGUA